Small nuclear RNA from Prolemur simus (greater bamboo lemur), 104 nucleotides. Lineage: Eukaryota; Metazoa; Chordata; Mammalia; Primates; Lemuridae. The record is from Ensembl.
GUGCUCACUUCGGCAGCACAUGUACUAAAAUUGGAACGAUACAGAGAUUGGCAUGGCCCCUGCGCAAGGAUGACACACAAAUGCGUGACAUGUUCCAUAUUUAA